Long non-coding RNA from Physeter macrocephalus (sperm whale), 2008 nucleotides. RefSeq lists it as uncharacterized. The transcript is spliced from 3 exons. NCBI's taxonomy places the organism in Eukaryota, Metazoa, Chordata, Mammalia, Artiodactyla, Physeteridae. The record is from RefSeq and is a predicted model, not a curated record.
GGGCACGAACCCGUGUCCCCUGCAUCGGCAGGGGGACUCUCAACCACUGUGCCACCAGGGAAACCCUUAGCCCUUUCUUAUACGUCCAUCUAUGAUCUGAAUGUUGGACAGGUCCCUUCAACACAGUGACCACGCAUUUCCUCAUUGAUUUUUGUUCAACGUUAGACUGAAGAGCCCCUUUUCCUAUCCUAAUCCUUUUCUGCUCAUGUACAAAUUAAUUUAUCCAAUAGUUCAUAUGUUGAUUCCUGAGAUGUGAGGAGCUGGAUGUGUAUAUAAUAGGUAAAAUAAGUUAUUUAUUGGGCAGCUACUAUGUGCUUGCUCAGUGCUGGAGAGAAAAAGUACAAUACUUGUCCACAAGGAGCAAACAUACACAUCAGAGAAUGAGUCACAAGUAUUUAUUUAUUCAGCAUCUUGAAGUGCCCAGCAUCACACAAGUGACAAGAAGUAUCUCUGCUUUUAUUUGUGGACCAGGGCGGGUGAGUACAGAGGAGGCUCUUAGUCCAGCCUGGGAGGUGGAGGGAGGGGGGAGCUGGGGCGGGGCAGAGGUCCCCUGGUGGGGAGGGAGGAGGCGCAGACCCUCAGAGACCACCUGAGAGCCCAGCAGAAGCCCCUGGCCUCCUGGAAGGGGAGGUCAGAGGCUGCUUCCGGGUGGUGGGGCCAGCUGAGUCACCAGCUCCCUCUUGACUGGCUGCCCCAAGCUCUGGUCUUGUUGGAAGAGAUUUCAGAUACACAAACCCCAAGCUUUCCAGAGGACGUUCUGUAGGACACAGACUCUUGGAUGUUACUGGAUGCCUCAUGGGGAACAGGUCAUGAAGGACACUCUGAAACCAAGGGCCCUGAGGACUGGCAUCAGCUAGAUCCACUCCACCUAUGAUCUGCCUUCCCCCAUCAAGUUCACUUCAAUUUUUUAACAACAGCUGCUUUAAAAAAGUUUAUUAAUUUAUUUUUUUGGCUGCGUUGGGUCUUCGUUGCUGUGUGCGGGCUUUCUCUAGUUGCAGCAUUGCUUGAAUUGUUUUUAUGAAAACUUGCGUAUCCUCUGAGUGGCACGGAGCCUAAGCGUUAAGACGUUUGCCUGAGUUGUUGCUUCAGGAACUUGGUAUCAGCUGUUGGAUGUCCAGUUCGAGCUGAGCUGCUGAGUGGUUAGGACCACUGACCCUCCAACUGAAACCGAGCACUGGGCUCAUGUGCCUGCGGGCAGAAAGUCAGCCUCUGAUGGCGGGCUUUGCAGCAAACUAAGGAUGUUGUUUGCAGGGUGCCGAGCAAGGGAGCGGGGGGCAGGCCUCAGACCCACUGCAACGUCGUCUCCGAGUUAGUGGUUUUUAAAGGGUAAGAACAGAGGGGCUGGGGUUCAUCACCUUAAUCGUCUGUGACCUGGGGGUCUCUAUCUCUGUAACCUGUACAGGCCAUCUUGCCCCGCAAGAUGACUCAGAAUGGCGCGUGAACAUGAUGCUUAUUGGGAAGCUGAAGCUCCAGGCACCCGACCUGCAUUGCUCCUUACUGAUGAGGCAAACGUGACCAUCCUCAUCCCGUAAAUACCCGUCCUCGGCCCUUGGGUAGGCGGCCUCUUUUCUCUGCUCUCAACCUCGGCAUCUCGGCAUCUGGCUCAGUGACACUUCUGCCUCUGCUCCAUCCAUGCCUUUCUCUACUCUGCAGCUAGAGCCCCGCAAACUAACUCGGGGUCAUCGUGAAGGUAGGGUCCCCAUCGCCCUCACCCGCUCAGCUCCCUGGGCACAAGCCACUGAGCACCAUGGGCCCCAAAACCAGGCCCCAGGCCCAACCACUGGCACCCUGGCCCCUCUUUUCGGCUGCAUUGGGUCUUCGUUGCUGCACGCGGGCUUUCUGUAGUUGCAGCGAGCGGGGGCUACUCUUCCUCGCGGUGUGCGGGCUGGUCAUUGCGGUGGCUUCUCUUGUUGCAAAGCACGGGUUCUAGGCGCACUGGUUUCAGUAGCUGUGGCUUGCGAGCUCUAGAGCACAGGCUCAGUAGUUGGGGCACGUGGGCUUAGCUGCU